Molecule: ribosomal RNA, 459 nt
Filed under: uncultured bacterium
Lineage: Bacteria
Description: bacterial SSU rRNA
Rfam family: Bacterial small subunit ribosomal RNA
Source: RNAcentral
UACGGAAGGCAGCAGUGGGGAAUAUUGCACAAUGGGCGCAAGCCUGAUGCAGCCAUGCCGCGUGUAUGAAGAAGGCCUUCGGGUUGUAAAGUACUUUCAGUCGUGAGGAAGGUGUUAAGGUUAAUAACCUUAGCAAUUGACGUUAGUGACAGAAGAAGCACCGGCUAACUCCGUGCCAGCAGCCGCGGUAAUACGGAGGGUGCGAGCGUUAAUCGGAAUUACUGGGCGUAAAGAGCACGUAGGUGGUUUUUUUAAGUCAGAUGUGAAAUCCCUGGGCUUAACCUAGGAACUGCAUUUUGAAACUGAAAUACUAGAGUAUCGUAGAGGGAGGUAGAAUUCUAGGUGUAGCGGUGAAAUGCGUAGAUAUCUGGAGGAAUACCUGUGGCGAAAGCGGCCUCCUAAAACGAAAUACUGACACUGAGGUGCGAAAGCGUGGGGAGCAAACAGGGAUUAGAUACC